Molecule: long non-coding RNA, 2548 nt
Organism: Cephus cinctus (wheat stem sawfly)
Lineage: Eukaryota; Metazoa; Arthropoda; Insecta; Hymenoptera; Cephidae
Exons: 2
Source: RefSeq, a predicted model, not a curated record
UCCAAUGAGUGAAACAGAGUUGGCUAUCGCAUACUCAGAGGACGCGGUGACCUGCGGACUGGCUUCGACUCGUGCAUCCACAGACAGACGCACGCACUCUCACGCACUUGUUUCUCACUCAUGACUCCCACAUCGAAACCAAAUAUCAAAUGCUUCUCUCUUUAUGCUCCACCUAUUUGUCUCUCUUUCUCUUUAUUCCUUCUGCCAUUGGAAAGCUAUGCGUGGACUCACUAUUUAUCUUCCCCUCUUCGCGCCAUGGGCCUGGUCUCUGUUUUCUGCGUUGCGUCUUCUUGCCUGGAACAGCUUUGUCAUUGAUAGAGGGUCUACUAUCGUUGUGUACAUCAUAAGAAGAGCCACGCGUAUUCACAUACGUGACACUUAAACAAUUUUCUCCGAUUAAGUUAGCUUUCUUUCAUUCGUCUUUAUAUUUAAUACAUCUCAUAUCUCUUACCUGCUAUAUAAUCACUACUAGGUUAAUCUAUAGUUUUAUUCACAAUCUAGGGGAGACAUCUGUUUUGAAUUUAGGAUAUCUAUUGUCUGUCUCCGAUUAAGGAUUACAGAGAAACAACAUUUUUUAAAAAUGUUAUUAUACGUUGCGGUCGCCGCCAUGAUGCAUCCAUAGUGCCAGUACUGUUCCGAAUCUUGCAUACUACUUGGGAACCAUUCCAAGAGCGUAUAUUUUGAUGGUGAAAGCAGUGUGGAUCAAGAAAAAGAAAAAUAAGGAUGGUGCGUCUAACGGGGCCAACGUUCGAAUUACUCGUUGCUGCAACCGAUGCACUCGGUGUUUUUAUAUUCAGUGUGCCCACUGUAUGUCGAAACACGACGCAUCCGAGUAACUCAAAGAUCUCUUCUCGAAACUUCGUGAAGCAUAGGCGAGGUUUUAUCGUAACCUAAAAAAAGAUGUACGUAGAAAAGAAUCUGGGCCAAGUUCGAAUAUUUGCGCUCGGUUUUUGCCCGCAUGAGUGUGUUUGACAUGUCUUCACGCGCGCGACUACGUCACUCGCUUGAAAAUAGUAUUAUCGCUGUUUUAUCGAUGCCCUCCGUAUUCUCGGAAGCUCUCGUCUCGUGUCUUCGAUACACCGCCUCACAAACGUCUUUGAUAUGCGAACGAUAUUUGCCAUCGCGAUAUAAUUUGUUCAAAUUUUUUAGGUUAAUUUGAGAUUGUGACAAACAGACGAUUAAUGGGGGGAAAAAAUAUUGGAGACAUUUUUUUUGCGAAAUUCCUUUAUCGCGAUAAUAAAAAAGUGUGCGCGUUAUCAUAAGAUUAACAAAAUUAUAUGCAAGUGAAUAAUCCUUUGUACCGACAGGUGCAAAAAUUGACGUAUAAAAAUAUCCGUAACAAUUUCAAAAUGAAAUCUAGAUAAAAGUUGACUAGUAUCAUUGCUGGUAUUACUGUAUAUUAUGUAUUGUGAGGAUAUGCAUUAUCUAUUAAUAUAUCUAUAUAUACGAUCGCACGGCAUAUAAUAUUUUGGAGGUUCGGCAAGUUCCAUAGGUCGAAACAAUAGUUGCAAAUUGACAAAAGAUAAUGUCAAUAUGCUUUUAGUCCUGAUCCGUCAUAUAGAUCUUUCUAAGAAAUUGCCAAAGCGCCGUCGUAUUUCGAAAAUUCGAUAUUGGAUCGUUCGCAAAUGCUUGAUACGUAAAUAAUUUAAAUAACAAAAAAUGCUAGAAUAACAUUAUACCAACGAGGCAUUAUACACGUGCGAGCAUAUCAAAGGUAAAUAUCGUUUCUCGCAUGUACAGUCGACGGCGACGUCGCCACGUGGAGAGCGUAACCAUUGAUUUCCGAACUCUGGGGUAUUUUAGAAUUUAUAUCAACGUGUUUUCGGCCAUAUUCUCCUACCACAAUGUACACACUAGUAUACGUAAAGGGCAAAUAUGUACGUGAGAGUACGCGUGCGCCACUCCCACUCAGCCCUUACACCCAUCGAAAAAGGGUAUAUAUAUAUAAAUAUUAUAUAUAUAUAUAUAUAUAAAGAAUAAUCCACAUAGAACGGCUGAGGGGACAGAAGGGUGGCGCCGGGGUUUACAACUUAUCCCCCUUAUCCCUGCACACCAGUGUCACGCACACACACUCGACACGUGCACCAACACCGAAUCAGAACCCCACGACCUCUACCACAGGGGGUGACGUUGACCCCCCUAUACUACCAACGCUGAAGUUUACAGGGCGCUGAAUGUUCCGGGAGAGAAAGUGACACGGGCCUUAACGCACCAUCUUGAGGAGGGAAUACGAGGGUGGGUUUUCUGAAGGGUGAAAGGACACGGAGAAGACGUCGUAUCGAUCCCUUCGAAAUACCUUACGUGCAAUGAAUAGGUGCAGGCUUGGAUGCUAUAUUUUUUUAAGGACACAGGAUACUGCGAAUGUAACGUGGAUACGCAAAGCUUGGCUAAUAUCGUGAUUUCGUGCGUCAAAUAUCGAAUAGGCGAAUCUGCAAUUCGCGACAUGAUUUACAUGCGCACCCCAUUCGCCCCGUACAGUGGCUGAUCGGAUGUUAAGAAAAUCGAAAGAUUCUUUGUCUUUUAAAAAAACAAACAUGACCACACCCAG